GCNCGGUCUCGCGAACAUCUGUUUAAAGUUGAUCAUGGACUCACAGUGNACGUUAGGCGGUAAGCCUAACACAUGCAAGUCGAACGGCAGCACAGGUGAGCUUGCUCUCUGGGUGGCGAGUGGCGGACGGGUGAGGAAUACAUCGGAAUCUACUCUGUCGUGGGGGAUAACGUAGGGAAACUUACGCUAAUACCGCAUACGACCUACGGGUGAAAGCAGGGGAUCUUCGGACCUUGCGCGAUUGAAUGAGCCGAUGUCGGAUUAGCUAGUUGGCGGGGUAAAGGCCCACCAAGGCGACGAUCCGUAGCUGGUCUGAGAGGAUGAUCAGCCACACUGGAACUGAGACACGGUCCAGACUCCUACGGGAGGCAGCAGUGGGGAAUAUUGGACAAUGGGCGCAAGCCUGAUCCAGCCAUACCGCGUGGGUGAAGAAGGCCUUCGGGUUGUAAAGCCCUUUUGUUGGGAAAGAAAUCCAGCCGGCUAAUACCUGGUUGGGAUGACGGUACCCAAAGAAUAAGCACCGGCUAACUUCGUGCCAGCAGCCGCGGUAAUACGAACGGGUGCAAGCGUUACUCGGAAUUCUGGGCGUAAAGCGUGCGUAGGUUGGCUUCUUCUACGUCCCGUUGUGGAAAAGCCCUGGGGCUCAACCCUGGGAACCUGNCGUUGGAUUCCUGGGAUGACNUAGGAAAUUGGU
RNAcentral lists this ribosomal RNA (694 nucleotides) under uncultured bacterium. RNAcentral's name for it is "bacterial SSU rRNA". It matches the Rfam family "Bacterial small subunit ribosomal RNA", at positions 1 to 665 of the family's 1533-position model. The record is from RNAcentral.